GAUGAACGCUGGCGGCGUGCCUAAUACAUGCAAGUCGAGCGAACAGACGAGGAGCUUGCUCCUCUGACGUUAGCGGCGGACGGGUGAGUAACACGUGGAUAACCUACCUAUAAGACUGGGAUAACUUCGGGAAACCGGAGCUAAUACCGGAUAAUAUAUUGAACCGCAUGGUUCAAUAGUGAAAGACGGUUUUGCUGUCACUUAUAGAUGGAUCCGCGCCGCAUUAGCUAGUUGGUAAGGUAACGGCUUACCAAGGCAACGAUGCGUAGCCGACCUGAGAGGGUGAUCGGCCACACUGGAACUGAGACACGGUCCAGACUCCUACGGGAGGCAGCGGUAGGGAAUCUUCCGCAAUGGGCGAGAGCCUGACGGAGCAACGCCGCGUGAGUGAUGAAGGUCUUCGGAUCGUAAAACUCUGUUAUUAGUGAAGAACAAAUGUGUAAGUAACUAUGCACGUCUUGACGGUACCUAAUCAGAAAGCCACGGCUAACUACGUG
RNAcentral lists this ribosomal RNA (497 nucleotides) under uncultured bacterium. Its description in RNAcentral is "partial 16S ribosomal RNA". It matches the Rfam family "Bacterial small subunit ribosomal RNA", at positions 28 to 507 of the family's 1533-position model. The record is from RNAcentral.